UGGACAGACGCUCGCCGUGUGCGGCCCAAA
RNAcentral lists this non-coding RNA (30 nucleotides) under Bombyx mori (domestic silkworm). The record is from RNAcentral. Lineage: Eukaryota; Metazoa; Arthropoda; Insecta; Lepidoptera; Bombycidae.